This 700-nucleotide ribosomal RNA is filed under the name Microbacterium sp. SO3-2. RNAcentral describes it as "bacterial SSU rRNA". It matches the Rfam family "Bacterial small subunit ribosomal RNA", at positions 104 to 820 of the family's 1533-position model. The record is from RNAcentral. Lineage: Bacteria; Bacillati; Actinomycetota; Actinomycetes; Micrococcales; Microbacteriaceae.
GGGUGAGUAACACGUGAGCAAUCUGCCCCUGACUCUGGGAUAAGCGCUGGAAACGGCGUCUAAUACCGGAUACGAGCUGCGAAGGCAUCUUCAGCAGCUGGAAAGAACUUCGGUCAGGGAUGAGCUCGCGGCCUAUCAGCUAGUUGGUGAGGUAAAGGCUCACCAAGGCGUCGACGGGUAGCCGGCCUGAGAGGGUGACCGGCCACACUGGGACUGAGACACGGCCCAGACUCCUACGGGAGGCAGCAGUGGGGAAUAUUGCACAAUGGGCGCAAGCCUGAUGCAGCAACGCCGCGUGAGGGACGACGGCCUUCGGGUUGUAAACCUCUUUUAGCAGGGAAGAAGCGAAAGUGACGGUACCUGCAGAAAAAGCACCGGCUAACUACGUGCCAGCAGCCGCGGUAAUACGUAGGGUGCAAGCGUUAUCCGGAAUUAUUGGGCGUAAAGAGCUCGUAGGCGGUUUGUCGCGUCUGCUGUGAAAACUGGGGGCUCAACCCCCAGCCUGCAGUGGGUACGGGCAGACUAGAGUGCGGUAGGGGAGAUUGGAAUUCCUGGUGUAGCGGUGGAAUGCGCAGAUAUCAGGAGGAACACCGAUGGCGAAGGCAGAUCUCUGGGCCGUAACUGACGCUGAGGAGCGAAAGGGUGGGGAGCAAACAGGCUUAGAUACCUGGUAGUCCACCCGUAAACGUUGGGAACUAGU